Molecule: ribosomal RNA, 332 nt
Filed under: uncultured bacterium
Lineage: Bacteria
Description: bacterial SSU rRNA
Rfam family: Bacterial small subunit ribosomal RNA
Source: RNAcentral
CGUGUAGGCGGUCGGGUAAGUCAGAUGUGAAAGCCUUCUGCUUAACAGAAGAAGUGCAUUUGAAACUGCUCGGCUAGAGUACGGGAGAGGAGAGUGGAAUUCCCGGUGUAGAGGUGAAAUUCGUAGAUAUCGGGAGGAACACCGGUGGCGAAGGCGGCUCUCUGGUCCGAUACUGACGCUGAGACGCGAAAGCGUGGGGAGCAAACAGGAUUAGAUACCCUGGUAGUCCACGCCGUAAACGAUGGGCACUAGGUGUAGGAGGUAUUGACCCCUUCUGUGCCGAAGCUAACGCAUUAAGUGCCCCGCCUGGGGAGUACGGCCGCAAGGCUAAA